GACGAACGCUGGCGGCGUGCUUAACACAUGCAAGUCGAACGGAAAGGCCCUGCUUUUGUGGGGUGCUCGAGUGGCGAACGGGUGAGUAACACGUGAGUAACCUGCACUUGACUUUGGGAUAACUUCAGGAAACUGGGGCUAAUACCGGAUAGGAGCUACUGCUGCAUGGUGGGGGUUGGUAAGUUUCGGCGGUUGGGGAUGGAAUAGCCGCGUAUCAGCUUGAUGGGGGGGUAGUGUCUUACCAAGGCAUUGACAGGUAGCCGGGCUGAGAGGGUGACCGGCCACGUUGGGCUGGAGAUACGGCACAGACUACUACGGGAGGCGGCGGAGGAGAAUAGUGUACUGGGGGCGGAAGGCUGGUGUAGCAACGCCGCGUGCGGGAUGACGGGCAUCGGGUUGUAAUGCGCUUUCGCCUGUGACGAAGCGAGAGUGACGGUAAUGGGUAAAGAAGCACCGGCUAACUACGUG
This 468-nucleotide ribosomal RNA is filed under the name uncultured bacterium. RNAcentral's name for it is "partial 16S ribosomal RNA". It matches the Rfam family "Bacterial small subunit ribosomal RNA", at positions 28 to 507 of the family's 1533-position model. The record is from RNAcentral.